CCUACGGGAGGCAGCAGUGGGGAAUAUUGCACAAUGGGCGAAAGCCUGAUGCAGCAACGCCGCGUGAGCGAUGAAGGCCUUCGGGUCGUAAAGCUCUGUCCUCAAGGAAGAUAAUGACGGUACUUGAGGAGGAAGCCCCGGCUAACUACGUGCCAGCAGCCGCGGUAAUACGUAGGGGGCUAGCGUUAUCCGGAAUUACUGGGCGUAAAGGGGGCGUAGGUGGGUUUUUAAGUCAGAAGUGAAAGACUACGGCUCAACCGUAGUAAGCCUUUUGAAAUUGGAAACUUGGAGGGCAGGGGAGGAGAAGGGAAUGCCGAGUGUAGCGGUGAAAUGCGUAGAUAUUAGGAAGAACCCCAGGGGCGAAGG
Molecule: ribosomal RNA, 366 nt
Filed under: uncultured bacterium
Lineage: Bacteria
Description: partial 16S ribosomal RNA
Rfam family: Bacterial small subunit ribosomal RNA
Source: RNAcentral